This is a non-coding RNA of Agelaius phoeniceus (red-winged blackbird), 383 nucleotides long. The record is from RefSeq and is a predicted model, not a curated record. Lineage: Eukaryota; Metazoa; Chordata; Aves; Passeriformes; Icteridae.
AGUUCAUUAAGUUGGAGGGGAUAAUCUCCCAGCCAGACAAAGGAAGAUAUUGAAACUGAAGAAGCAGCCUUGAGGAGUUUGGUCAUGGUGCUGAGUACCUGGUUCACUGGAGGCGAAAAAUUCUGAACUCAACAUAUGUCAAGCAAUGAAAAUGCCUCAAGCACAUCAAAUACCAGCCCAUUAUACAGAUAAAUGAAAGAAACUGAGCUGCAAUGCUCACAGGGUGAACAAUGGGUGAAUUCUCUCCUCGCUUUGACACCUGGGCUGGCAGGGAGGACACAGUGACCUCGGCCGCCGAUGCUGCCUGUGCCAUCACCUGGCACUGCCGUGCUUGAUGAAAGUAAUUUCGCUGGGAUUUUUCUCCUGAGAAGCCUAAAAACAGA